GUGCCUAAUAUAUGCAAGUCGAGCGGACCGACGGGAGCUUGCUCCCUUAGGUCAGCGGCGGACGGGUGAGUAACACGUGGGUAACCUGCCUGUAAGACUGGGAUAACUCCGGGAAACCGGGGCUAAUACCGGAUGCUUGAUUGAACCGCAUGGUUCAAUCAUAAAAGGUGGCUUUUAGCUACCACUUGCAGAUGGACCCGCGGCGCAUUAGCUAGUUGGUGAGGUAACGGCUCACCAAGGCGACGAUGCGUAGCCGACCUGAGAGGGUGAUCGGCCACACUGGGACUGAGACACGGCCCAGACUCCUACGGGAGGCAGCAGUAGGGAAUCUUCCGCAAUGGACGAAAGUCUGACGGAGCAACGCCGCGUGAGUGAUGAAGGUUUUCGGAUCGUAAAACUCUGUUGUUAGGGAAGAACAAGUACCGUUCGAAUAGGGCGGCACCUUGACGGUACCUAACCAGAAAGCCACGGCUAACUACGUGCCAGCAGCCGCGGUAAUACGUAGGUGGCAAGCGUUGUCCGGAAUUAUUGGGCGUAAAGCGCGCGCAGGCGGUUUCUUAAGUCUGAUGUGAAAGCCCCCGGCUCAACCGGGGAGGGUCAUUGGAAACUGGGGAACUUGAGUGCAGAAGAGGAGAGUGGAAUUCCACGUGUAGCGGUGAAAUGCGUAGAGAUGUGGAGGAACACCAGUGGCGAAGGCGACUCUCUGGUCUGUAACUGACGCUGAGGCGCGAAAGCGUGGGGAGCGAACAGGAUUAGAUACCCUGGUAGUCCACGCCGUAAACGAUGAGUGCUAAGUGUUA
Molecule: ribosomal RNA, 800 nt
Filed under: Bacillus velezensis
Lineage: Bacteria; Bacillati; Bacillota; Bacilli; Caryophanales; Bacillaceae
Description: bacterial SSU rRNA
Rfam family: Bacterial small subunit ribosomal RNA
Source: RNAcentral